This 465-nucleotide ribosomal RNA is filed under the name uncultured bacterium. RNAcentral's name for it is "partial 16S ribosomal RNA". It matches the Rfam family "Bacterial small subunit ribosomal RNA", at positions 28 to 507 of the family's 1533-position model. The record is from RNAcentral.
GACGAACGCUGGCGGCGUGCUUAACACAUGCAAGUCGAACGGAAAGGCCCCUUUGGGGGUCCUCGAGUGGCGAACGGGUGAGUAACACGUGAGUAACCUGCCCUUGACUUCGGGAUAACUUCAGGAAACUGGGGCUAAUACCGGAUAGGAAUCCUUGCUGCAUGGUGGGGGUUGGAAAGCUUCGGCGGUUUUGGAUGGACUCGCGGCUUAUCAGCUUGUUGGUGGGGUAGUGGCUUACCAAGGCUUUGACGGGUAGCCGGCCUGAGAGGGCGACCGGCCACAUUGGGACUGUGAUACGGCCCAGACUCCUACGGGAGGCAGCAGUGGGGAAUAUUGCACAAUGGGCGGAAGCCUGAUGCAGCAACGCCGCGUGCGGGAUGACGGCCUUCGGGUUGUAAACCGCUUUCAGCAGGGGCGAAGCUUGUGGUGACGGUACCUGCAGAAGAAGCACCGGCUAACUACGUG